Molecule: ribosomal RNA, 223 nt
Filed under: uncultured bacterium
Lineage: Bacteria
Description: partial 16S ribosomal RNA
Rfam family: Bacterial small subunit ribosomal RNA
Source: RNAcentral
GAUCCUGGCUCAGGAUGAACGCUGACAGAAUGCUUAACACAUGCAAGUCUACUUGAUCCUUCGGGUGAUGGUGGCGGACGGGUGAGUAACGCGUAAAGAACUUGCCCUGCAGUCUGGGACAACAUUUGGAAACGAAUGCUAAUACCGGAUAUUAUGUGAGUUUCGCAUGAAAUUCAUAUGAAAGCUAUAUGCGCUGCAGGAGGCUUGUCGUCCUAUUAGCUAG